RNAcentral lists this ribosomal RNA (350 nucleotides) under uncultured Pseudomonadota bacterium. RNAcentral describes it as "bacterial SSU rRNA". It matches the Rfam family "Bacterial small subunit ribosomal RNA", at positions 35 to 412 of the family's 1533-position model. The record is from RNAcentral. Lineage: Bacteria; Pseudomonadati; Pseudomonadota.
GCUGGCGGCACGCCUAACACAUGCAAGUCGAACGAAGUAGCAAUACUUAGUGGCAGACGGGUGAGUAACAUGUGGGUAUCUGCCCUUUGGCCUGGAAUAACACGAGGAAACUUGUGCUAAUACCGGAUAAGUCUUUACGGAGAAAGCUUUAUGCACCAUUGGAUGAGCCCGCACUUGAUUAGUUUGUUGGUGGGGUAAUGGCCUACCAAGACUGUGAUCAAUAGCUGAUUUGAGAGGAUGAUCAGCCACAUUGGGACUGAGACACGGCCCAAACUCCUACGGGAGGCAGCAGUGGGGAAUCUUGCACAAUGGAGGAAACUCUGAUGCAGCGAUGCCGCGUGAGUGAAGAA